Molecule: ribosomal RNA, 118 nt
Filed under: uncultured Planctomycetota bacterium
Lineage: Bacteria; Pseudomonadati; Planctomycetota
Description: uncultured planctomycete partial 16S ribosomal RNA
Rfam family: Bacterial small subunit ribosomal RNA
Source: RNAcentral
UCGAGAAUCUUUCGCAAUGCCCGAAAGGGUGACGAAGCGACGCCGCGUGUGGGAAGAAGGCCUUCGGGUUGUAAACCACUGUCGGGAGUUAKGAAAUGUAAGGGUGUUAAUAGCAUCC